This 253-nucleotide ribosomal RNA is filed under the name uncultured bacterium. RNAcentral's name for it is "partial 16S ribosomal RNA". It matches the Rfam family "Bacterial small subunit ribosomal RNA", at positions 524 to 776 of the family's 1533-position model. The record is from RNAcentral.
UACGUAGGUGGCAAGCGUUGUCCGGAAUUAUUGGGCGUAAAGCGCGCGCAGGCGGUCCUUUAAGUCUGAUGUGAAAGCCCACGGCUCAACCGUGGAGGGUCAUUGGAAACUGGGGGGACUUAGUACAGAAGAGAAGAGUGGAAUUCCACGUGUAGCGGUGAAAUGCGUAGAGAUGUGGAGGAACACCAGUGGCGAAGGCGACUCUUUGGUCUGUAACUGACGCUGAGGCGCGAAAGCGUGGGGAGCAAACAGG